RNAcentral lists this unclassified non-coding RNA (312 nucleotides) under Hevea brasiliensis (rubber tree). Lineage: Eukaryota; Viridiplantae; Streptophyta; Magnoliopsida; Malpighiales; Euphorbiaceae. The record is from RNAcentral.
AUGUGUGCAAAGUAGUGUGGAUGGGCCGAUUUGCAAUAGUAAAUUACGUUGGCCUCAUAGAAAGAAACUGCCAAUGGAUAAGGAUUUUUGAGCCCAUAGGUAUUCAAGAGAGCUUCCAACAUAGAUCGCUACUGGAUUCUAGUUAUGUGAUACAAAAUUAUUUCAACCACAUGAUCAUGCCUAUUAGUUUCGGCCUUUCUAAUUACUCCUCUUCUAUAUGUACAUAAAUAUUACACAAGGGCAUAAUAGCUGUGAAUGAGAGUUAUGAAGCCUGAGUGAUUGUUUUGUUUUAGGCUGCUUCAGCAAAUCCAA